RNAcentral lists this non-coding RNA (81 nucleotides) under Legionella fallonii LLAP-10. RNAcentral's name for it is "Legionella RNA 69". It matches the Rfam family "Legionella RNA 69". Lineage: Bacteria; Pseudomonadati; Pseudomonadota; Gammaproteobacteria; Legionellales; Legionellaceae. The record is from Rfam by way of RNAcentral.
AGACGUCGCUAAAGCGACACCUCAGAGCGAACGGAUCGAGAUAGAGACUGGAUCUAAUAUGCUUCUUAUCCAAAACUGACG